Molecule: non-coding RNA, 272 nt
Organism: Pelobates cultripes (western spadefoot toad)
Lineage: Eukaryota; Metazoa; Chordata; Amphibia; Anura; Pelobatidae
Source: the annotation of a GenBank genome assembly
CAUCGGGCUACUGCCUCUACCUUAGCAGGUUCAGGUUUCUGCUUCCCACACCCCACUCUGUGUCCGAGGUACUGUACCUCUGCCAUCCCUAUACUGCAUUUUGCUGGCUUCAGGGUUAAUCCGGCUUCUCGGAUUCUAUCUAACACUGCCCCUAUAUGGGCCAAAUGUUCCUCCCAAGUGUUGCUAAAGAUGGCUAUGUCAUCUAAAUACGCACAAGUAUAAUCCUGAAAUCCAUCUAGGAGUCGGUCCACCAUCUUCUGGAAGGUAGCGGG